RNAcentral lists this ribosomal RNA (449 nucleotides) under uncultured bacterium. Its description in RNAcentral is "partial 16S ribosomal RNA". It matches the Rfam family "Bacterial small subunit ribosomal RNA", at positions 29 to 523 of the family's 1533-position model. The record is from RNAcentral.
AACGAACGCUGGCGGCAGGCCUAACACAUGCAAGUCGAACGCUGCAGCAAUGCAGAGUGGCAGACGGGUGAGUAACGCGUGGGAACCUUCCCAAUGGUACGGAAUAGCCCAGGGAAACUUGGGGUAAUACCGUAUAAGCCCCAUGGGGGAAAGAUUUAUCGCCAUUGGAUGGGCCCGCGUCGGAUUAGCUAGUUGGUGAGGUAACGGCUCACCAAGGCGACGAUCCGUAGCUGGUUUGAGAGAAUGACCAGCCACACUGGGACUGAGACACGGCCCAGACUCCUACGGGAGGCAGCAGUGGGGAAUAUUGGACAAUGGGCGCAAGCCUGAUCCAGCCAUGCCGCGUGAGUGAUGAAGGUCUUAGGAUUGUAAAGCUCUUUCACCGACGAAGAUAAUGACGGUAGUCGGAGAAGAAGCCCCGGCUAACUUCGUGCCAGCCGCCGCGGUAA